UCCAGUCCAAGGUAGAGGUUUUGUGUUCAGUCAGACAGCUCUCGUGUCCACAAGAUGCUCUCCACUGUCAACCAGUUGGUCCUGGAAUGAGGGUGUGGAAGCUCUGCAAAUUGAGGUCAGCUGAACUUGAUGAGAAGAGGAUUGAAGAGGAGGAGAUCCAGAAAACAUCACUGAGAAUAUACCGUGAGCUCACAGAGAGGCGAUGAGGUUGCUCUCCAGUCAUGGGGUCCUAGUACAUGAGUUAUUCACUCACUGGCAGCAUGUAAGGAUUAAUUCCAGACUUACAGGAAGAGGACACCAUCGGUUUAUGCCUUGACCAGAUCAAUAGGCAACAUUUUUUUCAGCAUAGCAGUCAAUACGCCAAACUUAAGGUGUCUGAGGAGACUAAAGAACACCAAUAAUUGUUAUUAAUGCCUUGGAUGUCCCUAAGCAUUACAUUUAGAGGCAUUCCCCAUCUAAAAGACAUUCAGCCAUCACAUACAGUACAUAUCCCACAAAGGCCUACCAGGCUCUAGUAAAGUGUCUGUGAAUGCUCUGUACAAGAAUGUUAACACAAAUCAUUUGUUUUCCAAAAUGCCUGAUAUGCCUGCAGUGUCAUUCAGGGGGAUUUUGAGUCACGCUAAUGGUGUGGAUGGCAAUGUUGCUUGGUCCAAAAUAAAACAUCGUAGAUGGAUUACCAUG
Long non-coding RNA from Sander lucioperca (pikeperch), 681 nucleotides. RefSeq lists it as uncharacterized. NCBI's taxonomy places the organism in Eukaryota, Metazoa, Chordata, Actinopteri, Perciformes, Percidae. The transcript is spliced from 3 exons. The record is from RefSeq and is a predicted model, not a curated record.